UUGACUAAUUCGACCUCAAAUCAGGCAGGACUACCCGCUGAACUUAA
Molecule: ribosomal RNA, 47 nt
Filed under: Hydnellum geogenium
Lineage: Eukaryota; Fungi; Basidiomycota; Agaricomycetes; Thelephorales; Thelephoraceae
Description: partial 28S ribosomal RNA
Source: RNAcentral